GGGAACGAUUUAUUUUGAGGUUUAAGAAAAUUUGCUUAAAUGUAAAUGUAAGAAAAAUAUUUUUUGAAUUUGAGUACAUAAAUAGAAAUAAAGUUUUGGCGAUAGAUGAAAGUACUGUGAAGGAAAGUUGAAAUAUAUUUAAAAGAUAUUAAUAAAAAAGUAUAAAUAGAAUUUAGUACCUUGUGUAUUAGGGAUAUUUUAUGUUAAAUAAUUAUAUUUAUUUUUCCCGAAAUAAGGAUAGCUAAGUUGAAGGGUGAGUUUUUGUGUUAAAAAGAUUUAAAAUUUCAUCUUAGUAGUGAAAUGUUAAUCGUGCUUUAAUAUAUCUGGUUUUUUUUGAAAAAAAUUUAAUUUUUUCUUUAUUUAAAGGAAAAGUAAAGUAUAGGAGUAGAGGGGCUAAGCUCUUUAUUUCAUAAUUUAAACUAUGGUGAUACAGAAAAUUAGUUGUUGAACUAGGCUUAGAGGUAGCUAUGUUUUCAAAGGGUUAUACCUGGGACAUUAAUAGUGAAUAUUUAUGUAUUUUUUAGGGUAGUAAAAAAAGGUUUUUUGAGAUUAAAUUUAAAGAUUCAAAAUGAAUAUAUUAGUAUAUAACAUUCUGUUUAAUAUUUUUAUUAAUAAGGUUAAUAAAUUUUUUAAAAUGAUUGAUAGGACAAAGGAAUUCGGCAAAUAAUGUAUUUCCGCCUGUUUAUCAAAAACAUGUCUAUAUGAUAGUUUUAUAAAGUCUGGCCUGCCCGUUGGGGGAACUGAAAGGCCGCGGUAUUAUGACCGUGCGAAGGUAGCAUAAUCAUUAGUCUUUUAAUUGAAGGCUGGAAUGAAUGGUUGGACGAGAAAUAAGCUGUCUUUGUCUUAUAAAUUGAAUUUAACUUUUAAGUGAGAGGGCUUAAAUGUAUUAAAGGGACGAUAAGACCCUAUAAAGUUUAUACAUUCAAAUAAUUGAAAAUAAUUAAGAAAAAUUAAAGUUUAUUAUUAGGAAGAUGUUUAGUUGGGGCGACUAGGAUAUAAGUUAAUUUAACUGUCUUAAAUUAAAGUCAAAGAUAUUUGAGUUUGUGAUCCUUUUUUAGGAUUCAAGAACAAGUUACUUUAGGGAUAACAGCGUAAUUUUUUUUGAGAGUUCCUAUCGACAAAAGAGUUUACGACCUCGAUGUUGAAUUAAAAGUUUCUCUGGAGUGUAGCAAUUCCAGGAGAAGGUCUGUUCGACCUUUAAAUUUUUACAUGAUUUGAGUUCAGACCGGCGAGAGCCAGGUUGGUUUCUAUCUUUUAAGAAAUAUAAAAUUGUUUUAGUACGAAAGGAUUAAAUAAUUGAAAUAGUUUUCAUUAUAAUAGAAGGUUUUUAGUUGAUAUUUCAGCUAAAAAUAAAUUUCAGGGAAAAAAGCUAAAGCUUU
RNAcentral lists this ribosomal RNA (1379 nucleotides) under Cherax tenuimanus. RNAcentral's name for it is "16S ribosomal RNA". The stretch from base 630 to 1379 matches the Rfam family "Archaeal large subunit ribosomal RNA", at positions 1423 to 2848 of the family's 2987-position model. Lineage: Eukaryota; Metazoa; Arthropoda; Malacostraca; Decapoda; Parastacidae. The record is from RNAcentral.